UAACAUAAAGAAGCAAUGCUGUGCUAACAGUGAAUAUAAAAUGCACUGUGUGGUGUGCUAAAUGGCUAGUCCUUUAUUUAUUUAUUUUUCUCUCCCCCUUUCCCUACAAAUUCACCUUUGCAUAUUGUACUGUAGUACUUGGCUCUCAUUGAAACUUGUUAGCUGUACCUAAUAAACAUACUAACAUGAUUUUGGUGUAAAAGUGUAACUUCCAGGAUAAAUUCUAAAUGCUCCAGAUGUGCUAAAACUGUCCAGACUAAUUCGGAUAAUUCAUGAACUGGGUGUCUGCCAGCAUUUAUCUACAUUGGUAUUAUGUAGCAAUGCUUUGCACCUGCUUCUGAGCUGCUGGAAAGUAGCAACAAAUUUAUUAGGAAUCUUGUGAAUCUUUUUUUUUUUUUUUUUCCUUUUUGUACUGAAUGAAUUAUUUUCUGCAUAUUCAUAGGCACAACAUACUCAAGUUAACCAGUGGAGUGUAGAAUUUUUCUAUGGAUGUUAUAUUUUUAUAUUGGAAACUGAUGAAAGAAAGCUUCAAGUCUCCCACUCAACCAUUCUAUGUCUGCCUUUGCCCUUAAAGCCAGGAAAUGAUGCACUGGUGUGGCUGAUAAAGCCAAUGAUUCAUACCAGGGGUGACACAUCAGAUGCUGCUUUCUCAUUGCUGUUUGUUUGCUUGUUUUUCUUAUGGCCAUUUUCUGAAUUAACAGAAAGUACCAUGCCUGAGGCAGAUUGUCAGGAUUAUUUGCAUUCAUCAACAAGUGGUGGCUGA
This 763-nucleotide long non-coding RNA is filed under the name Anas platyrhynchos platyrhynchos (common mallard). Its description in RNAcentral is "lncRNA (ENSAPLG00000028641.1)". The record is from RNAcentral. Lineage: Eukaryota; Metazoa; Chordata; Aves; Anseriformes; Anatidae.